This is a long non-coding RNA of Crotalus tigris (Tiger rattlesnake), 472 nucleotides long. RefSeq lists it as uncharacterized. The record is from RefSeq and is a predicted model, not a curated record. The transcript is spliced from 2 exons. Lineage: Eukaryota; Metazoa; Chordata; Lepidosauria; Squamata; Viperidae.
CCCUAUUAGCCUUUGGCUGUGAUGGCGCCUCCUACGCUGUGAGGCAUGUACUCUACACCAUCCUAGACGACAGAAGACUCACUUGUCAGCCUGCAGUGUUGAUGGUGAAAAAGGAGGAAGAAGGAAUGGAACGCAAGAAUGAACAUGAUCUCCACCAAGAAUGCUAUUUCACCAAUUAUGUCAAAACUGACCUUUAGAACAAUCUCUGAAAAUGUAAGCCACUUUCAUGAUCACACCACACUACACAUUUUAAUCCUAUCUGUGACCAUUGCUACAUAAUAGGGAUUCUCGUUUUCUUGCCUGUUGUAUUUUUAGCCCAUUCUAGGUGUGUUCCAUGAUGUACAUAAGAUUCCAUACUUUUCUUGCCUCCUUACUGUUAGGCCUGGUAAUGGUUCUUAAAACCCAAAAGAAAAUGUCUAUGGCCCUUUCUAUUGCUAGGCUUGGUCACUGAUUAUUAAAACAGUAAUUAGUA